UACGAGGGGGGGCAAGCGUUGUUCGGAAUUAUUGGGCGUAAAGAGCUCGUAGGCGGUUCGUCGCGUCUGCUGUGAAAACCCGAGGCUCAACCUCGGGCCUGCAGUGGGUACGGGCAGACUAGAGUGCGGUAGGGGGAGAUUGGAAUUCCUGGUGUAGCGGUGGAAUGCGCAGAUAUCAGGAGGAACACCGAUGGCGAAGGCAGAUCUC
Molecule: ribosomal RNA, 208 nt
Filed under: uncultured bacterium
Lineage: Bacteria
Description: partial 16S ribosomal RNA
Rfam family: Bacterial small subunit ribosomal RNA
Source: RNAcentral